UACGUAGGGGGCAAGCGUUGUCCGGAUUUAUUGGGCGUAAAGAGCGUGUAGGCGGCUUGGCAAGUCCGCUGUGAAAACUCGAGGCUCAACCUCGAGACGUCGGUGGAAACUGCCUGGCUAGAGUCCGGAAGAGGAGAGUGGAAUUCCUGGUGUAGCGGUGAAAUGCGCAGAUAUCAGGAAGAACACCCGUGGCUAAGGCGGCUCUCUAGUACGGUACUGACGCUGAGACGCGAAAGCGUGGGGAG
Molecule: ribosomal RNA, 245 nt
Filed under: uncultured bacterium
Lineage: Bacteria
Description: partial 16S ribosomal RNA
Rfam family: Bacterial small subunit ribosomal RNA
Source: RNAcentral